GUCCUCUGGACGUCUCUGAUGAGCCGGAGCUGGGCGGGUUCCAGAGGCUGUUCUUGCCACCUCCGGUCACUCGAUCUUCUAAAAAGCAGCCCACCAUACAGAGGAGGACACUGAAGCUCAGAGAGGGCGAGUGACAUGCUUAAGGCCACUCAGCUAACACCCCGCAGAGCUGGGACUUGACCCCAUGUCAUUCUGCUCUAGAAACUGUGCUGUGAACAUGGGCCGUCCCCUUGGGGGUCAUCUGUGUUUGUCCGCCAUGCAGUGGGCACCAACAGCUGCGUGCUGGAGCCUUCCUCCCCUGUAAGGUCGGGGUGAGUGGGGGCGCUGCCUCUCUCUCUAGACUCUGAGCCCUGUGAGGUCGGGGCACUGCCCAUAUCCGUCUGUGAUUCGGGCAUGCAGCAGGCGCUCAAUAAAUGUUUCUGGAAUAAAUAAUUGAAUAAAUCAAUACACAAACUUC
Molecule: long non-coding RNA, 457 nt
Organism: Hipposideros armiger (great roundleaf bat)
Lineage: Eukaryota; Metazoa; Chordata; Mammalia; Chiroptera; Hipposideridae
Exons: 2
Source: RefSeq, a predicted model, not a curated record